Molecule: ribosomal RNA, 365 nt
Filed under: uncultured bacterium
Lineage: Bacteria
Description: bacterial SSU rRNA
Rfam family: Bacterial small subunit ribosomal RNA
Source: RNAcentral
GACGAACGCUGGCGGCGUGCUUAACACAUGCAAGUCACGGGGGCCCGCAAGGGCAACCGGCGAACGGGUGCGUAACACGUGAGCAACCUGCCGAUCUGAGGGGGAUAGCCGGCCCAACGGCCGGGUAAUACCGCAUACGUUCUCGAGGGGGAGUCCUCUUGAGAAGAAACCUCCGGGGCAGAUCGAGGGGCUCGCGGCCUAUCAGCUAGUUGGCGGUGUAAUGGACCACCAAGGCGACGACGGGAGCUGGUCUGAGAGCACGACCAGUCACACGGGCACUGAGACACGGGCCCGACUCCUACGGGAGGCAGCAGUAAGGAAUAUUGGUCAAUGGACGCAAGUCUGAACCAGCCAUGCCGCGUGAA